UACGUAGGGGGCAAGCGUUGUCCGGAAUUAUUGGGCGUAAAGAGCUCGUAGGCGGCUUAGUAAGUCGGCGGUGAAAUACCGAGGCUCAACCUCGGCACUGCCGUCGAUACUGCUAUGGCUAGAGUUUGGUAGAGGAGAACGGAAUUCCUGGUGUAGCGGUGAAAUGCGCAGAUAUCAGGAGGAACACCGGUGGCGAAGGCGGCAUCCUGGACCAAUAUUGACGCUGAGGAGCGAAAGCCAGGGGAGCAAACGGG
This 254-nucleotide ribosomal RNA is filed under the name uncultured bacterium. RNAcentral's name for it is "partial 16S ribosomal RNA". It matches the Rfam family "Bacterial small subunit ribosomal RNA", at positions 524 to 776 of the family's 1533-position model. The record is from RNAcentral.